GGGCUGGAGAAGCAGUGGGACACUGGUGGUGGCUGACAAAGGCAGUCUGCAGGGCAGUACGGGCCACUGGGUGGCUGGGUGGCAGGGAGGCGGUGUUUUUCCGCCAGGGCGGACGUGGGCUGUGAGCAGCUCCCAGGCGCAAGGGCAGACGCCUCCACAGUGCUGGAGCCCAUUUUGCCCGCCCGCUGAGGAGAACUCUGCGCGGCCUACACGCGUCAGGGACAGCGCUUUGAGGUGACAUCGCCACGAACAACGGUCUCUUUUGAAAGUUGGUCCUAAAACAGUUAAGGUUUUAUUUUAUUUUGUUUUAUUUCCAAGUCACAGCUCUUGAAUCUCUCUGGACCACGUCCUGAUGCUGGCCUGACCUCCUAACUUCGGUUCUAGUGACCUCGGCCUUGGAUGUCCCUUGGUUCGCCUUGGGCUUGCAUCGCGAUCCCUGCUUGAGUGUCCCGGGGUGGGAGACCUGGAAGUUUUAGCCUAGCUGUUCCGGAGAAGGUGUAAUUAGUCCAAGAAACAUUAUAUACAUGCUUAGGUGGAGAAAAGCAGGGCUAGAAUUGGAACCCAAAGCCCAGAAUGGCAAGAGAGGAUGUGGGGGCUCCACCCGAUCAUCUCUGGGUUCACCAAGAAGGUGUCUACCGCGACGAAUAUCAGCGCACAUGGGUAGCUGUGGUGGAAGAGGAGACAAGUUUCCUAAAGGCUCGAGUCCAGCAAGUUCAGGUUCCCUUAGGUGAUGCAACUAGGCCAAGUCACCUUCUUACUUCCCAACUACCUCUCAUGUGGCAACUCUACCCAGAGGAACGCUACAUGGAUAACAACUCUCGCUUGUGGCAGAUUCAGCAUCAUUUAAUGGUGAGGGGAGUACAGGAACUACUGCUUAAACUUUUGCCUGAUGAUUAACCUGGUGCUGGAAUUCUAGGAAGAUAUGUUCCUCUGUUCUAUUCACAUCAUUCACCACUACAGUGCUCCUACCCUUGGGUCUGGGUGGGGAGAGAGUAGUUUGAAAAACUACAGAAGUUUAGGAAGGGUCAUGAAGAACACUGCCAGUGACACUACAGAGAGAGGGUUACACCGGGCAGAAAUCAAGCCAACAAAAACAUUUAGUCAGGAAAUGUAACUUGAAAUUGACUCCUCUGGAAAUUGGCAUAGAACGUUUAAUGGACUUCAUCGGUUGAACCUGGGAUCUGGUGAAUCCCACAAAAAUCAGCACAUGCUACAGAACAGAUGCCCUCAUCACCAAGGACUUGGUACUUAUUUAGAGAGAAGAGAGCAGCCUCUAGCAGCAUCAACAUGUAUUUGUUGCUUAUUUCCCCUGCAGCAAAUCACCUGCCUUUCCUUCUUCCAUCCUUUUUCUGGAUAUGCCACAAAAGGAUCCAUGCCAGAAACAAGCCUGUGAAAUACAGAAAUGUUUACAAGCCAACAACUAUAUGGAAUCGAAGUGUCAGGCUGUCAUCCAAGAACUUCGUAAGUGUUGUGCUCGAUAUCCCAAGGGAAGAUCUCUUGUCUGCUCAGGAUUUGAGAAAGAAGAAGAAAACCUGACACUAAAGUCUGGAUCCAAGUCCAAGGUGACGACUACAGCAGUCUUAGCUGCCUCAAGCCCUUUCUAAACCAAAAACUCUUAAGAGGCAGAGAGGCGGCAAAGAGGCUGAAUGCUACAUCUUGCAGGCAACAGGAAGUCAACCGACACACUGGGCAGUAUCCUUUAAGAAACCUCAAAGCCCACCCCCACGGUGACAUACUUCCUCCAACAAUGCCACGCCUAACAGUGCCACUUCCUUUGGGGGCCAUUUUCUUUCAAACUACCACAUGCUCCCCUCCACAGACCUUCCCCAAUUCAAUUCUUUUCUUCAAAGCAACAUUUUUUUCUAAAGCAUUCCUAGGAAUCACUGUAAAAAUGAAACAAAAAGGCUUCUUCUGUGGUUAAAUACUUGAAGAAUGCUAGUCUAGACACAUGUAAAUGGUUAGUUUCCUGCCAGAGUUUAGUUUUUCAUAUGUUAAUAUGAGAUACAAUUCUUUGUAGUAUUAUCCUGUUACGAAACUGAACCUCUUUUGUAGACAAGCAUUUCUUUGAGUGAUUUUCCUCCAAAGAGACUUUCUGGAAAUAUGCUAUCUGAGAGAUACUUGGUCCACAAAGGAGGGUAACAAUUCUAAAUUCCCAUGAAGUAAUUUAAGUGAACUCUCAUUAAUAGUAAAACCAUUUUAAUAAAGCACUUUACAAUUAUAAUGUGUAUAUCACCUAUGAAUCUAAAUUGCACUUAAAAUAACAUUUGACAGUGAUUGCUUAGGACUUACAUAUGACUCACAAAAUCAAAUAAUUGCUUUUUCUGUUUUAUUAGUUAUGUUUACUUUAAAACAUUUUAUAUGUCUCUCUCUCCUAAAGUAUACUGCCUUAUUUUGAGUUUCAAAAGCUUCCAAGUAUUUGUUCCUUUCUUUAAACUAUCCUUUCUUAGUUUAAGUCAACAGAUCUACUGAAAGACAUUGACUUAAAUCUUAUUCUCUUUAGCUAUUAUGGCACACAGAAAAAUGAGUAUUUUUUAUGUAACACUGACCAAGACUAACACUGAAACAUAGUCUUCGGGGAAGAACUCUUGUGACAACUAUGGUCUCACCUCUCAUUUUAGAAAUACAAAACCCUCCAAGUAGCUAUUAGUGAUUCUAAGAUAAUCACUUGGUUGGUGAUUGACAGACCUUAGCAAGGAUGCUACUUUUCAAUAGCAAUGGGUAAAUCAAUUGUAGGGUGACAUUUGGGCAGCAAGUGAACAUUCCAUUACUCUACAGCCUUUUAUUCAGUAAUUUCAGCAUAUACUGAUGGCAAAAAUCCCCAUUUCCAUUUUGUUAUAAUACACCUUUCUUCCUUACAAUGUAAUCAGUAAAUUGUGGUAUUAUAUUUGUGUUCCGUAUCCAGAAAUCAUCUCAAGUUAAUUUUAAAAUAAAAUUUAAAAAGUAUUCACUUGUUAACAGAAUUGUAAUUUUAUUAGCACCUACUUCCAACUCCUUCAUUGUUCUCUAUCUUCACUGCUCAUCAAGAAAAUCUGAGAUAUGUGAAGCCUCAACCUACCACAAUGGCAUCCUAGACCAGUGAAGUCAAAACCCUUAGUAUAACAGCCACAAAUCAACAUUUAAAAUUCCAAAGGUGAUUCCCUUGUGUAAACAAGGAUGAGAACUGCUGCCCUUAGUAAUCACAUCAUUUCUUAACAUUUUAAUAUUGGAAAAAGUAGAUAGUUUUGAUACAG
Peromyscus maniculatus bairdii (prairie deer mouse) is the source of this 3230-nucleotide non-coding RNA. Lineage: Eukaryota; Metazoa; Chordata; Mammalia; Rodentia; Cricetidae. The record is from RefSeq and is a predicted model, not a curated record.